GCAGGCCGUGAAAUCGUAUUUAAUACAGUAUUUGUUUUUACUAUUAAGACUUCGACUUUUCCUUUUACCCUUACGUGAUUCUCAUGAUAAAUCAGUGUUAGCUUCAGAGCGCGAUUGGCCUUCUAGGUAUGUAUAUAAUUAGGUUUGAAGACUCAUUUGAUAUCAUUCAGCUCUGUAGCAGCAACUUGAUAACACAAUCAAAAUGUUCAAACUGUUUGUAUUCGCCUGCUUCCUGGCCUUCGCUGCCGCUAAGCCCAGCGUGUUUCCCGUGGCAUACACAGCAGCAGCGUACACCGCUCCCGUCGCAGCGGCGUACACAGCCCCCGUAGCGUACUCGGCCUAUACCGCUCCUGUCGCUUACUCGGCUUAUUCUACUUAUGGAUACGCUUCUCCAUACGCCGCUGCUUACUAUGUGCGCUGAAAGACAUAUAUUAUUGAUUGAUGGAUUGAUUAGUUUGAACAAUAAAUAAAUUAUUUUCACAAGA
This is a long non-coding RNA of Pieris napi, 485 nucleotides long. RefSeq lists it as uncharacterized. The record is from RefSeq and is a predicted model, not a curated record. The transcript has 2 exons. Lineage: Eukaryota; Metazoa; Arthropoda; Insecta; Lepidoptera; Pieridae.